UCUCGGGGCCUGAGCGGGAUGUGCAGGGAGCAGAGACGCAGGGAGGAGGAGACGCUGGCUGGAGCCAGAGCUGGGAGCACCUGCCAGAGCCCAUCCAGUCCCCGGCCCUGCUGGCCAGUGCUCCUGCCUAUCCCAGCUCUGGCAGGUUGGGUGUGAAGGCCUGAGCAGGCUCCUGCUCCAUAACCUUUCAUGGUUCCUCCCACUGUCUGGCCUCACUGUGAGCCCUCGAGGAUACCUUCCAACAACACUGUGCUCCACUUCCCGCCGCCUCCCUGUUGACCCCUGGACCCCACAAUUUAUAAGGGAGAAGGGCCCCUUUGUCCUCCUCAUCUCCCAGACAGGGUGGGAUUUGGCAAAGCAGAGAAGGGAGCCCGGGACCUGCCUGGUGGUGCUGAUUCCUGGCUCGUGUCCCUUCUCUGCACACAUCAUGGAGGAGCCCCUGCGGUAUUGGGGCCUGGCAGUCUCUGCACAUCUCCACUGUGUGACCCAGGGAGCCUCCCCCAGGACACUUAGCCUGCUCCGUGAACGCCCUCCUCCCAGGACCACUCUGGGGCCUCCAGAUCUCGUGGGAGGCCGCACAUGGUGCCCCUGGCUGCCCCUUGGGGACCUCUACUACUGGCAAGAAAAGAGAAACUGGUAAUCGGUGCUCCCAAUGUGCAUGGCAAUGCCACUGGCUGGCCAGGACCUGCUCCCGGCGUUUGAAAGGUCCCCUGAGCUCAUCUGCUUGUUCAUUUGCACUGUCUAUGGAGAAAGCAAAUGUCAACUUGUGCUGCCCAGACCGCUGCUUGCACUCCCCUCAUUAGUGGUGUCUGAAAUCAUAGAGUUUCUCUGUGUUCUCGUUAUGUGCAAAUGACCUCCCAAAAGCACUUCCGAGGGGCAUGUAGACCCAAGACGGCCCCUUCUAGAGGGGCUUUGGUUCUUGGGACGAGGGUGCCUCUGCCUUGGGGAGGGACUUCCAAUGGAUCGAAACUGGAGGGAGGGACCCAGCGGGGGGUGCCUAGGAUCCCGAGUUUGGGAGACCCUUGUGGGCACACCUGCCUUGAAGGGCCGGGACCUAGGGGUUCCCACGCAGCUGUGAGGGGAGACAGAGGUGGCAGGUGCAGGCUGAUUCCCACCCCGGGGAAGCUCAUUGUGGAGGCACACGUAGCUCACCGUAGCCCCUGCUGCUCAGCUACGCUGGAUAUGCCCAGUCUGCGCAGGGCACUUCUCGCUCUCCACUUAAAAGGAUGCGUUUGGCAAACCUCAGGAUGUCGUUAAAAUUUCAUGGGCUCCCCCUAAGCGGAGGACCAUCGGCCGUAACCUCGAUCGAGUCAGAUCUGUGCCUGGUCCAGGUGUGUCUCCUGUUGGCGAGCACAUCUCUCCUCGAUGUCACAGAAAUGAGACACCAUCCCGGAGCUGGCAGGACAGGUUGGC
This is a long non-coding RNA of Canis lupus familiaris (dog), 1413 nucleotides long. RefSeq lists it as uncharacterized. NCBI's taxonomy places the organism in Eukaryota, Metazoa, Chordata, Mammalia, Carnivora, Canidae. The record is from RefSeq and is a predicted model, not a curated record. The transcript is spliced from 3 exons.